Molecule: transfer RNA, 65 nt
Filed under: Cardiocondyla obscurior
Lineage: Eukaryota; Metazoa; Arthropoda; Insecta; Hymenoptera; Formicidae
Description: tRNA-Met
Source: RNAcentral
AAAUAAGUAAGCUAAUUAAGCUUUUAGGUUCAUACCCUAAAAAUAGACAUCACUUCUCUUAUUUA